UACGGAGGGGGCUAGCGUUGUUCGGAAUUACUGGGCGUAAAGCGCGCGUAGGCGGACCUGCAAGUCGGGGGUGAAAGCCCGAGGCUCAACCUCGGAACUGCCUUCGAUACUGCGGGUCUCGAGUCCGGGAGAGGUGAGUGGAAUUCCUAGUGUAGAGGUGAAAUUCGUAGAUAUUAGGAAGAACACCGGUGGCGAAGGCGGCCACCUGGACGGUAACUGACGCUGAGACGCGAAAGCGUGGGGAGCAAACAGG
RNAcentral lists this ribosomal RNA (253 nucleotides) under uncultured bacterium. RNAcentral describes it as "partial 16S ribosomal RNA". It matches the Rfam family "Bacterial small subunit ribosomal RNA", at positions 524 to 776 of the family's 1533-position model. The record is from RNAcentral.